GUGGGGAAUAUUGCACAAUGGGCGGAAGCCUGAUGCAGCAACGCCGCGUGCGGGAUGACGGCCUUCGGGUUGUAAACCGCUUUCAGCAGGGACGAAGCGUGAGUGACGGUACCUGCAGAAGAAGCACCGGCUAACUACGUGCCAGCAGCCGCGGUGAUACGUAGGGUGCGAGCGUUGUCCGGAUUUAUUGGGCGUAAAGAGCUUGUAGGCGGUUGGUUGCGUCGAAAGUGCAAACUCAGGGCUUAACUCUGAGCCUGCUUUCGAUACGGGCUGACUGGAGGAAGGUAGGGGAGAAUGGAAUUCCCGGUGGAGCGGUGGAAUGCGCAGAUAUCGGGAGGAACACCAGUGGCGAAGGCGGUUCUCUGGUCUGUAACUGACGCUGAGGUUCGAAAGCGUGGGUAGCAAACAGGAUUAGAAACCCGUGUAGUCC
This 430-nucleotide ribosomal RNA is filed under the name uncultured bacterium. RNAcentral's name for it is "partial 16S ribosomal RNA". It matches the Rfam family "Bacterial small subunit ribosomal RNA", at positions 354 to 796 of the family's 1533-position model. The record is from RNAcentral.